Molecule: ribosomal RNA, 880 nt
Filed under: uncultured fungus
Lineage: Eukaryota; Fungi
Description: SSU rRNA
Rfam family: Eukaryotic small subunit ribosomal RNA
Source: RNAcentral
UAGUACCUUUACCUGAUAACCGUGGUAAUUCUAGAGCUAAUACAUGCUAAAAACCUCGACUUCGGAAGGGGUGUAUUUAUUAGAUAAAAAACCAAUGCCCUUCGGGGCUCCUUGGUGAUUCAUAAUAACUUAACGAAUCGCAUGGCCUUGCGCCGGCGAUGGUUCAUUCAAAUUUCUGCCCUAUCAACUUUCGAUGGUAAGAUAGUGGCUUACCAUGGUCUCAACGGGUAACGGGGAAUUAGGGUUCUAUUCCGGAGAGGGAGCCUGAGAAACGGCUACCACAUCCAAGGAAGGCAGCAGGCGCGCAAAUUACCCAAUCCCAAUUCGGGGAGGUAGUGACAAUAAAUACUGAUACGGGGCUCUUUCGGGUCUCGUAAUUGGAAUGAGUACAAUCUAAAUCCCUUAACGAGGAACAAUUGGAGGGCAAGUCUGGUGCCAGCAGCCGCGGUAAUUCCAGCUCCAAUAGCGUAUAUUAAAGUUGUUGCCGUUAAAAAGCUCGUAGUUGAACCUUGGACCUGGCUGAUCUGUCCUCCUAAUCGAGCGCACGGAUUCGGUCGGGUCUUUCCUUCUGGGGAGCCCUAUGCCCUUCACUGGGUGUAGUGGGGAACCAGGACUUUUACCUUGAAAAAAUUAGAGUGUUCAAAGCAGGCCUUUGCUCGAGUACAUUAGCAUGGAAUAAUAGAAUAGGACAUCGGUUCUAUUUUGUUGGUUUCUAGGACCGCUGUAAUGAUUAAUAGGGAUAGUCGGGGGCGUCAGUAUUCAAUUGUCAGAGGUGAAAUUCUUGGAUUUAUUGAAGACUAACUACUGCGAAAGCAUUCGCCAAGGAUGUUUUCAUUAAUCAGUGAACGAAAGUUAGGGGAUCGAAGACGAUCAGAUACCG